This 317-nucleotide ribosomal RNA is filed under the name uncultured bacterium. RNAcentral describes it as "partial 16S ribosomal RNA". It matches the Rfam family "Bacterial small subunit ribosomal RNA", at positions 355 to 663 of the family's 1533-position model. The record is from RNAcentral.
UAGGGAAUCUUCGGCAAUGGACGAAAGUCUGACCGAGCAACGCCGCGUGAGUGAAGAAGGUUUUCGGAUCGUAAAACUCUGUUGGUAGAGAAGAACGUUGGUGAGAGUGGAAAGCUCAUCAAGUGACGGUAACUACCCUAGAAAGGGACGGCUAACUACGUGCCAGCAGCCGCGGUAAUACGUAGGUCCCGAGCGUUGUCCGGAUUUAUUGGGCGUAAAGCGAGCGCAGGCGGUUUAUUAAGUCUGGUGUAAAAGGCAGUGGCUCAACCAUUGUAUGCAUUGGAAACUGGUAGACUUGAGUGCAGUGCAGCAGAGUG